Long non-coding RNA from Eutrema salsugineum, 758 nucleotides. RefSeq lists it as uncharacterized. NCBI's taxonomy places the organism in Eukaryota, Viridiplantae, Streptophyta, Magnoliopsida, Brassicales, Brassicaceae. The transcript is spliced from 3 exons. The record is from RefSeq and is a predicted model, not a curated record.
GCCUUGCCGGAGUCAUGCUUGAGCAGCCACCAUCAAAACAGCUCGAAGGAGAAGCCACUGCAGCAAUCUAAAAGGCUCAUCCGAUGUGUUCUGGAGUGAGAGAUAAUCGGGUGGUCAAAUCAAAUCAGAUCGGGAUGAAACUUGGUUAUGAGUGUUUUCCCGAGCCAUAUUUGCAAAGGUUUGAUCCGCGAGCAGCUGACUUGUGAAGCAUUUUUCCGGAGAUCUAGAAAGCUUCAGAUGGCGAUCUACAUACCAUCGUGAAGAUAUUUAAUCCAGAUUUCCAGAUCACUCUUCCGAUACCCAUUCCGAGCUGUCACAAGAAAGUUAAGAUCGUUCUUCUAUUGGAUGUCAAAUCUGUCCUAAGGUGAACCAUAUUUGUUAUUCAUCAAGUGGCAAAGAUUGCUUGCUGGUCUUCACGAAGGACGUUUCGCAAAGUGGGACCAUGGCUAGACCAUACACAGAGGAAGUAUGGCCAGUACAAGGGCUGACGGGCCUGUGAGAUUUGUGGCUGACGAGUCACCAGAUUUAAACAGUGUGACGUUCUCGUGAGUGGGAACUUGUGUGCUAGGUUUUUGUGUACUUGUGAAAUAUUUAUGAUUGUUGUUUGUCUAAUCUUAGGUUAAGUAAACAUAUAUAUGAUUAUGUUUAAUUCUUCGUAUAGAUCAAGUGGACAUGUAAGAUCGUCCUCAUUGAGUAUCUUCAAAAUACUCACUCCUCUUUUUCCUUUCAGACAUUGUUUAAAAGAUCAGUUUGGCGUA